GACGAACGCUGGCGGCGUGCUUAACACAUGCAAGUCGAACGGAAAGGCCCUGCUUGCAGGGUACUCGAGUGGCGAACGGGUGAGUAACACGUGGGUGAUCUGCCCUGCACUUCGGGAUAAGCCUGGGAAACUGGGUCUAAUACCGGAUAGGAGCCAUUUUUAGUGUGAUGGUUGGAAAGUUUUUUCGGUGUAGGAUGAGCUCGCAGCCUAUCAGCUUGUUGGUGGGGUAAUGGCCUACCAAGGCGGCGACGGGUAGCCGGCCUGAGAGGGUGGACGGCCACAUUGGGACUGAGAUACGGCCCAGACUCCUACGGGAGGCAGCAGUGGGGAAUAUUGCACAAUGGGCGCAAGCCUGAUGCAGCGACGCCGCGGGGGGGAUGACGGCCUUCGGGUUGUAAACUCCUUUCGCUAGGGACGAAGCUUUUUGUGACGGUACCUAGAGAAGAAGCACCGGCUAACUACGUG
This 465-nucleotide ribosomal RNA is filed under the name uncultured bacterium. Its description in RNAcentral is "partial 16S ribosomal RNA". It matches the Rfam family "Bacterial small subunit ribosomal RNA", at positions 28 to 507 of the family's 1533-position model. The record is from RNAcentral.